RNAcentral lists this long non-coding RNA (3022 nucleotides) under Homo sapiens (human). RNAcentral describes it as "HSALNT0077862". Lineage: Eukaryota; Metazoa; Chordata; Mammalia; Primates; Hominidae. The record is from RNAcentral.
AAAACAACAAGCCGACCUGCAAUCCACACCACUUCUGCACAUAGUUUCCAUGCCACAUUUCCCCUUAAAAUCCCUUUAGCCAGCCUGAGACUCUGAGAUGGCUUUUUGAGAUUUCAGUCUGGCCAUCUCCAAAGUUGCUAGCACAUAAAUAAACCUGCUUUCUUUCCAUCAAGUAGUGAGCAGUUGAACCUGAGUUUGGUUACAAUUACCUGGCAUUCAGCACAGGGUGAUAGGCCUCAGGCAUCCAGCCUCUCUGGUUUCAAACAGAUGGAGUAAUUGGCCAAGGCAGCGUCAGGACUUACCUGUACGCACUAUGGGCAGAGUGACAACUGCUCACGAGUGCCAGCUGCUCAUGGAUAGCUGACCUCACAGCUGGGAUUCUAAAGACAUCCAGGAGCUGCUAAGAAUUCUUUAUCUCAGGUAUCCUCCCUUCUUUCUCCAUUGUGGCAUCAGGUGCCUGCAACACUUCACUGGUGCAAGGAAUACUAUGAUUGGGAAGCUGAAGGGCUUCAGGACUGCUUAAGCUAAACUGCAUGAAUAUGAGUCAAAUCUGAAGGGCUCAGAACAUUCAGGACAUACACAAAUGUGAUGCAAAAAAACUUAUUUAUUGAAGACAAUUUUGUUAGAGCUGCUGUUUCCAGGAGUCCUAUGAAAGCUGUGUACAAAAAAGCAUGAUUUCUGGCAGUGAAUAUGAGCAGCUGGUGCUAAGGUUAUUAAAUAAGGUGUAUCCUAGAUGCACUUAACUUUUUGGGAAUGUUGUUACAUGCAAAACAUAUGGGAAAGAUGCCAGUCCACUUAAAGUAAGGAAAAAAAUCAUGCUCAUUUAUUUAAAUUUUGUUUUAAGUGCAUAUAUAAGUGCCUACAGAUAAACUUUGCUGAAGUGAAGUUAAAAUAGCAUGUCCUUUAAAAAAAGUACUGUAUUAAAUAAUUAGUUUUAUCCAGAAUAUAGAUGUCUCCAAACACUCUUUGCAUAAAUAUUAUCCAAGAAGACAAUUACUGUUCACCAAGACUUGCAAUUUUAUAAAGAUUCAGAGAGUAAAAAGUUUCCUAUAUACUUGUAAGAGGAAAUGGACACAAGCUAAAUUAAUUAAUUAAUUAAUUAAUUCUUGGUAUUUAAAAGUACCAAAAAAGUAAGGUUUUAAGGUUUUUUAGUUAUUAAAUAUAACAUAUUCAGCACACAUAUGACACAUAUGAUAUGCUACUUAUGUUAAUUUAGUAUAUUUGUACCUGGACAGAAUGAGAUCCAGCUGCUUGCUCUCAUGGUCCAAUAACAUGAUUCAGAUAGACUGGAAAAGAAGGGAGUUUAUUUCAGCAACUGAUUACAGCUAGAAGGUUGGAGUAACUCAUCAGACCAAUUAAAAUUUACAAGUUUUUGUUCUAGUGCUUGUAUACAUUUUAGACAUGAAGUCUACAAGUGGGAGUGCACCUACAAGCAGGAGUGUUUCAUUCAAUCUAUAUCUAAUCUUUAACUGGGAUCUGGGGUCUGGAAAGCUUUCUCUAGAGUCUUAGAAAGUUUCUUAAUUUUAAGUGGGCCCUGGUACAAAGUGCAUGUCUAAGAAAGCUUGUAUUAUUUGGUCAGACUUUAAGGUCUGAGAAAACCCAGGUGGGGUCUUAAUGGAUUUGUUUUUACAUUGCAGCCCUUGUACUCCCACGCACAUUCCUCCAGUUCUUUAAUGUUUGACUUAUGCAGUCAUCAAAAUUAUAGCAAAGGGUUAGUGGAAUUGAUGUAGUUACCAAUGGACAAAAUGAUAAAGGAAAUAUGGUAUAUGUAUAUAUAAUUAAAUACUAUUUGAAAUAGUUAUCAAUGGACAAAAUGAUAAAGAAAUAUGAUAUAUGUAUAUACAAUUGAAUACUAUUUGGAUAUAGAAAUAAUGAAAACAUGUCAUUUGCAGCAACAUGCAUGAAACUAGAGGUUGUUAUGUUAAGUGAAAUAACCCAGGCACACAAAGGCAAAUAUUGCAUGUUCUUAUUCAGAUGUGGAAGCUAAACAAUGUUGAUACCUGGAGCAGAGCAAGCUUCUCUAACCUGGGUCCCGAAGGCUGCAUGGGGCCCGCAGGCUUCAGGCAGCCCAGGAUGGCUUUGAAUGCGGCCCUAGACAAAUUUGUAAACUUUCUCAAAACGUUAUAAGGUUUCUUGUGAUUUUUUUUUCUUAGCUCAUCUGCUAUCAGUAGUGUAUUUUAUGUUUGGCCCAAGACAAUUCUUUUUCUUCCAUUGUGGCCCAGGGGUGCCAAAAGAUUGGAUAUCACUGGAGUAGAGAGUAGAAUGAUAGUUACUAGGGUCUGGGAAGGGUGUGGGUAUGUGUGUGUUAGUGGAGGUGAAUGAAGAAAGAUUGAUGUAAUGGGUACAAACAGAGUUAGAUAACAGAAUUAAGUUCUAAUGUUCAAUAACACAGUAGGGUGACUAUAGUUGACAACAAGGUAUUGUAUAUUUCAAAAUAGCUAGGAGAGCACCUGAAAUGUUCUCAAUAUGUAGAAAUGCUAAGUGUUCAAGGUGACAGAUAUCCUAGAUAUCCUGAGUUGAUCAUUACACACUCUAUGUAUGUAACAAAAUACCAUAUGUACCUCAUAAAUAUACACAAACAUUAUGUAUUAAUAAAGAAGAUAAUAUAAAAAUUCCUGUAAAGAUAAAAUAUGUAGUAUUUAAAAAUAUAAAAUGAUUAUAUGUCAUGAAUAUUCCUAAACUGAAAAUAGUGUUUUCUAUUAAAAUGCCUUUUUAAAAUACUUAUAAUGUAGUUAAUGUUUUUAGCCAUUGCACCUUAUCAAGAAAACAACAUAAAGACACACAUAAGGAAACUUAUAAAGAAAAUGUAUUUAUUUGUAAGAAAUACUGUAUUUUUAGACUAGGUUAAUUAGGUAAAUGCUAUACUUUUAAGCAAGGUUACAUGUUACAUUUUUAUAAAAUUGUUUUGUAUAAUAUUUAUUUGAUUGCAAUUGUUUUUUGACAUUCAGAAAAUGAUACUUUUUAUGUGUUAAUUUUAACUAUCUCCCUCAGUAUAAAAGUAUUAUGCUCACUGAUGUCAUAA